Molecule: ribosomal RNA, 305 nt
Filed under: uncultured bacterium
Lineage: Bacteria
Description: bacterial SSU rRNA
Rfam family: Bacterial small subunit ribosomal RNA
Source: RNAcentral
ACCUACGGGGGGCAGCAGUGAGGAAUAUUGGUCAAUGGGCUUACGCCUGAACCAGCCAAGUCGCGUGAGGGAAGACUGCCCUAUGGGUUGUAAACCUCUUUUGUCGGGGAACAAAGGCGCCCACGGGUGGGCGGAUGAGUGUACCCGAAGAAAAAGCAUCGGCUAACUCCGUGCCAGCAGCCGCGGUAAUACGGAGGAUGCAAGCGUUAUCCGGAUUUAUUGGGUUUAAAGGGUGCGUAGGCGGACAGUCAAGUCAGCGGUAAAAAUGCGGUGCUCAACGCCGUACAGCCGUUGAAACUGGCAGU